CGAAGGGGGCUAGCGUUGCUCGGAAUUACUGGGCGUAAAGGGCGCGUAGGCGGACAGUUUAGUCAGAGGUGAAAGCCCAGGGCUCAACCUUGGAAUUGCCUUUGAUACUGACUGUCUUGAGUUCGGGAGAGGUGAGUGGAAUGCCGAGUGUAGAGGUGAAAUUCGUAGAUAUUCGGCGGAACACCAGUGGCGAAGGCGACUCACUGGCCCGAUACUGACGCUGAGGCGCGAAAGCGUGGGGAGCAAACAGGAUUAGAUACCCUGGUAGUCCACGCUGUAAACGAUGAGUGCUAGUUGUCGGCAUGCAUGCAUGUCGGUGACGCAGCUAACGCAUUAAGCACUCCGCCUGGGGAGUACGGUCGCAAGAUUA
RNAcentral lists this ribosomal RNA (370 nucleotides) under uncultured organism. RNAcentral's name for it is "bacterial SSU rRNA". It matches the Rfam family "Bacterial small subunit ribosomal RNA", at positions 526 to 896 of the family's 1533-position model. The record is from RNAcentral.